AUGCACGCUGGCGGCGUGCCUAAUACAUGCAAGUCGCGCGAACGGACGAGAAGCUUGCUUCUCUGAUGUUAGCGGCGGACGGGUGAGUAACACGUGGAUAACCUACCUAUAAGACUGGGAUAACUUCGGGAAACCGGAGCUAAUACCGGAUAAUAUUUUGAACCGCAUGGUUCAAAAGUGAAAGACGGUCUUGCUGUCACUUAUAGAUGGAUCCGCGCUGCAUUAGCUAGUUGGUAAGGUAACGGCUUACCAAGGCAACGAUGCAUAGCCGACCUGAGAGGGUGAUCGGCCACACUGGAACUUAGACACGGUCCAGACUCCUACGGGAGGCAGCAGUAGGGAAUCUUCCGCAAUGGGCGAAAGCCUGACGGAGCAACGCCGCGUGAGUGAUGAAGGUCUUCGGAUCGUAAAACUCUGUUAUUAGGGAAGAACAUAUGUGUAAGUAACUGUGCACAUCUUGACGGUACCUAAUCAGAAAGCCACGGCUAACUACGUG
This 496-nucleotide ribosomal RNA is filed under the name uncultured bacterium. RNAcentral's name for it is "partial 16S ribosomal RNA". It matches the Rfam family "Bacterial small subunit ribosomal RNA", at positions 29 to 507 of the family's 1533-position model. The record is from RNAcentral.